GACGAACGCUGGCGGCGUGCUUAACACAUGCAAGUCGAACGGAAAGGCCAGUGCUUGCCCUGGUACUCGAGUGGCGAACGGGUGAGUAACACGUGGGUGAUCUGCCUUGCACUCUGGGAUAAGCUUGGGAAACUGGGUCUAAUACCGGAUAUGAACUGCCUUUAGUGUGGUGGUUGGAAAGUUUUUUCGGUGCAAGAUGAGCUCGCGGCCUAUCAGCUUGUUGGUGGGGUAAUGGCCUACCAAGGCGUCGACGGGUAGCCGGCCUGAGAGGGUGUACGGCCACAUUGGGACUGAGAUACGGCCCAGACUCCUACGGGAGGCAGCAGUGGGGAAUAGUGCACAAUGGGCGGAAGCCUGAUGCAGCGACGCCGCGUGGGGGAUGACGGCCUUCGGGUUGUAAACUCCUUUCGACAGGGACGAAGCGUAAGUGACGGUACCUGUAGAAGAAGCACCGGCUAACUACGUG
RNAcentral lists this ribosomal RNA (466 nucleotides) under uncultured bacterium. RNAcentral describes it as "partial 16S ribosomal RNA". It matches the Rfam family "Bacterial small subunit ribosomal RNA", at positions 28 to 507 of the family's 1533-position model. The record is from RNAcentral.